This 487-nucleotide ribosomal RNA is filed under the name Capnocytophaga canimorsus. RNAcentral describes it as "bacterial SSU rRNA". It matches the Rfam family "Bacterial small subunit ribosomal RNA", at positions 9 to 497 of the family's 1533-position model. Lineage: Bacteria; Pseudomonadati; Bacteroidota; Flavobacteriia; Flavobacteriales; Flavobacteriaceae. The record is from RNAcentral.
GAGUUUGAUUAUGGCUCAGGAUGAACGCUAGCGGCAGGCCUAACACAUGCAAGUCGAGGGGUAGGGUGCUUCGGCACUUGAGACCGGCGCACGGGUGCGUAACACGUGUACAAUCUACCUUUUGCUAAGGGAUAGCCCGAAGAAAUUUGGAUUAAUACCUUAUAGUAUUGUUUGGUGGCAUCACUAAAUAAUUAAAGCUCUGGUGGCAAAAGAUGAGUACGCGUUCCAUUAGCUAGUUGGUGUGGUAACGGCAUACCAAGGCUACGAUGGGUAGGGGUCCUGAGAGGGAGGUCCCCCACACUGGUACUGAGACACGGACCAGACCCCUACGGGAGGCAGCAGUGAGGAAUAUUGGACAAUGGUCGGAAGACUGAUCCAGCCAUGCCGCGUGCAGGAUGACGGCCUUAUGGGUUGUAAACUGCUUUUAUACAGGAAGAAUAAGGUCUACGUGUAGAUUGAUGACGGUACUGUAUGAAUAAGCAUCGCA